This is a non-coding RNA of Podarcis lilfordi (Lilford's wall lizard), 72 nucleotides long. Lineage: Eukaryota; Metazoa; Chordata; Lepidosauria; Squamata; Lacertidae. The record is from the annotation of a GenBank genome assembly.
CAUCUAUUAGCUUAGUUGGUCAGAGUGUGGUGCUGCUAACCAGGUCAUGGGUUUGAUCCCCCACAUGGGUGC